CGAAAAUUUGCCGGAGGUGGUCGCAAAAGACGAUUAAAUCUGCUAUUUUUGCAUCUGGCAGGCCAACUUUGGAGAUGAGUCUGUUGCUUGGCGGCCGAAAAAUUUAGAUUUGGAUGAAAACGCUAAGGUGCUCCAGGAGGAUUCUUCAGGAAAUUUGCUGGACAUGUUGAGCAGUGUUGGGCGCAGUUGGAAGAGGUUGAUCUGGCCAAAUACACAAGAAAAUCCCUAGGAAGAGAAAUGACUUCAGUGGAGGGCGUUUUACUGCUGGAUCACGUCAAAGUGAUGCACAAAGAAGCCAUCAAACGCGGAAUUUACGGCUGCACGAC
This is a long non-coding RNA of Cloeon dipterum, 326 nucleotides long. RefSeq lists it as uncharacterized. The transcript is spliced from 3 exons. The record is from RefSeq and is a predicted model, not a curated record. NCBI's taxonomy places the organism in Eukaryota, Metazoa, Arthropoda, Insecta, Ephemeroptera, Baetidae.